RNAcentral lists this ribosomal RNA (468 nucleotides) under uncultured bacterium. RNAcentral describes it as "partial 16S ribosomal RNA". It matches the Rfam family "Bacterial small subunit ribosomal RNA", at positions 28 to 507 of the family's 1533-position model. The record is from RNAcentral.
GACGAACGCUGGCGGCGUGCUUAACACAUGCAAGUCGAACGGUGAAGCUCCAGCUUGCUGGAGUGGAUCAGUGGCGAACGGGUGAGUAACACGUGAGCAACCUGCCCCUGACUCUGGAAUAAGCGCUGGAAACGGCGUCUAAUACUGGAUACGAGAAGGGUCCGCAUGGGCACUUUCUGGAAAGUUUUUCGGUUGGGGAUGGGCUCGCGGCCUAUCAGCUUGUUGGUGAGGUAAUGGCUCACCAAGGCGACGACGGGUAGCCGGCCUGAGAGGGCGACCGGCCACACUGGGACUGAGACACGGCCCAGACUCCUACGGGAGGCAGCAGUGGGGAAUAUUGCACAAUGGGCGAAAGCCUGAUGCAGCGACGCCGCGUGAGGGAUGACGGCCUUCGGGUUGUAAACCUCUUUCAGCAGGGAAGAUGCGAAAGUGACGGUACCUGCAGAAGAAGCACCGGCUAACUACGUG